GACGAACGCUGGCGGCGUGCCUAAUACAUGCCAGUUGAGCGCUGAAGGUUGGUACUUGUACCGACUGGAUGAGCAGCGAACGGGUGAGUAACGCGUGGGGAAUCUGCCUUUGAGCGGGGGACAACAUUUGGAAACGAAUGCUAAUACCGCAUAAAAACUUUAAACACAAGUUUUAAGUUUGAAAGAUGCAAUUGCAUCACUCAAAGAUGAUCCCGCGUUGUAUUAGCUAGUUGGUGAGGUAAAGGCUCACCAAGGCGAUGAUACAUAGCCGACCUGAGAGGGUGAUCGGCCACAGUGGGACUGAGACACGGCCCAAACUCCUACGGGAGGCAGCAGUAGGGAAUCUUCGGCAAUGGACGAAAGUCUGACCGAGCAACGCCGCGUGAGUGAAGAAGGUUUUCGGAUCGUAAAACUCUGUUGGUAGAGAAGAACGUUGGUGAGAGUGGAAAGCUCAUCAAGUGACGGUAACUACCCAGAAAGGGACGGCUAACUACGUG
RNAcentral lists this ribosomal RNA (497 nucleotides) under uncultured bacterium. RNAcentral describes it as "partial 16S ribosomal RNA". It matches the Rfam family "Bacterial small subunit ribosomal RNA", at positions 28 to 507 of the family's 1533-position model. The record is from RNAcentral.